Molecule: ribosomal RNA, 497 nt
Filed under: uncultured bacterium
Lineage: Bacteria
Description: partial 16S ribosomal RNA
Rfam family: Bacterial small subunit ribosomal RNA
Source: RNAcentral
GAUGAACGCUGGCGGCGUGCCUAAUACAUGCAAGUCGAGCGAACAGAUAAGGAGCUUGCUCCUUUGAAGUUAGCGGCGGACGGGUGAGUAACACGUGGGUAACCUACCUAUAAGACUGGGAUAACUUCGGGAAACCGGAGCUAAUACCGGAUAACAUUUAGAACCGCAUGGUUCUAAAGUGAAAGAUGGUUUUGCUAUCACUUAUAGAUGGACCCGCGCCGUAUUAGCUAGUUGGUAAGGUAACGGCUUACCAAGGCGACGAUACGUAGCCGACCUGAGAGGGUGAUCGGCCACACUGGAACUGAGAUACGGUCCAGACUCCUACGGGAGGCAGCAGUAGGGAAUCUUCCGCAAUGGGCGAAAGCCUGACGGAGCAACGCCGCGUGAGUGAUGAAGGGUUUCGGCUCGUAAAACUCUGUUAUUAGGGAAGAACAAAUGUGUAAGUAACUGUGCACAUCUUGACGGUACCUAAUCAGAAAGCCACGGCUAACUACGUG